AAGUGAGACUGGAAAAAUGGCUCUCAGAGUUCCCGCCUCUGCAGUAGAGGAAGACACUCCAGAAGGAGUUGAGAAUGGGUGCUGAGUGCCUCUUCAGGAUGUCUGUCACACCUCAGGAAACCUGCCAGGAAUACCAAAGGGAGUGAAAAAUCCAAGGUUGGGAAGCCCUGGGACAUUGAAGUUACAACUGGACGAUAAAAACAGAGUUUUUUCCUUGUGACGUGACCACUGUGAUGUAAAGCUGUAUCUCCUUCAUUUCAUCAAGAAAUUCUUAAAAUUCUCCCCCAACGUGCUUUCAUCUUUCCCUUCAUUGCCAACUCUGAAUACUUGUCAUUGAAAUUAGGGCCCACCUGGAUAAUCCAUGAUGAUCUCAUCUCAAGAUCCUUAACUUAAUGACAUCUGCAGAGACUGGUUUAUCAAAUAAGGGACUGUGGCUAUAUCGCUGACCUCAAGAAAACCUGCGGACAAAAUCUGCUAAAGAAGUAUCAGCAUCUAUUUCAAAAGUUAGCCAUUAUUUUAAGAAGACUGUGCUGGAAGACGGGUAUUUAACACAAACAGAUGCAAAAGAUACGGGGUUUCACCGUGUUGACCAGACUGAUUUUGAACUUCUGGGCUCAAUCAGUCCACCUGCCUCGGCCUCCCAAAGUGCUGAGAUUAUAGGUGUGAGCCCCUGCGCCUGGCCAGGGAUGCCGUUCUUCACUCUCCAGGUGGAAACAAAGUUAAACAGAUUUCUCUACGGCAGCAGGACUCAGAGCUUUUUUGAAUUGUCUGACGGGCAGAUUGCUGGGAAUUCUUUUUCUAUGGUCAAGUAAAGAUUACAAGGCUAGAAUUCCAGCGAAGCUAUUUUGGCAAAUACUGACCUACAUGAUUGAAGGGGUCCAGAAUAUGCCACCCCAAAAUAUGCCACUUUGACAUACGGCUUAUUUUGGGCUGCAAGCGAUUGAAAAUGAGCAGAUGCAGGAUGAAUCCUCUGCUCUCUUUUUCUACCUGAAACCAGGGCGUAACAUUCCCUUUGUGGAAGGUGUUCCUCGACUCCCAUAGCAGGAAGUGUAGAGCAACUCUUACCAUCAAAGAUGGACAGUCAGCAUUGAGAUGAGUCUGCAUAAACAAACUUUUUUUUUUAAAGUUUGUUCCAUUAAUCUCCCCCAUGUAUUUGCUAGUCACUUUCCCACAAUUUAUCAUCCCUUUCCUUUGUUAAAAUGAUAUAUACGUCCCUGAGCCUAAUCACUUUGCAUUUCACUACUUUUCUGUGAACUCCUAUGCACGUAAAAAUAUAAAUACAUUUGUAUUCCUUUUCUCCUGUUAA
Long non-coding RNA from Homo sapiens (human), 1306 nucleotides. Ensembl annotates it as long intergenic non-protein coding RNA 2362. NCBI's taxonomy places the organism in Eukaryota, Metazoa, Chordata, Mammalia, Primates, Hominidae. The record is from Ensembl.